RNAcentral lists this transfer RNA (73 nucleotides) under Marmota marmota marmota (Alpine marmot). It matches the Rfam family "tRNA". Rfam says of the family: Transfer RNA (tRNA) molecules are approximately 80 nucleotides in length. RNAcentral also lists the same sequence under 3 other names. Lineage: Eukaryota; Metazoa; Chordata; Mammalia; Rodentia; Sciuridae. The record is from Rfam by way of RNAcentral.
GGUGAUAUAGCUCAGUUGACAGAGUGCUUGCCUUUCAUGCACAAAUCCCUGGGUUCAAUCCCUAGCAUCCCCC